GUUACAGUGUAAGUAUGGCCAAGGCAGUAUUGGGGACAUACUUACACUAAAC
RNAcentral lists this microRNA precursor (52 nucleotides) under Marmota monax (woodchuck). The record is from RNAcentral. Lineage: Eukaryota; Metazoa; Chordata; Mammalia; Rodentia; Sciuridae.